RNAcentral lists this small nuclear RNA (84 nucleotides) under Rhizoctonia solani AG-8 WAC10335. The record is from RNAcentral. Lineage: Eukaryota; Fungi; Basidiomycota; Agaricomycetes; Cantharellales; Ceratobasidiaceae.
NNNNCAGAGAAGAUUAGCAUGGCCCCUGCACAAGGAUGACACGCUAGUUCAGAGUGGACGGUCUACGGACCGCAAUAUUUAUUU